UACGUAGGGUGCGAGCGUUAAUCGGAAUUACUGGGCGUAAAGCGUGCGCAGGCGGUUUUGUAAGCCAGAUGUGAAAUCCCCGGGCUUAACCUGGGAAUGGCAUUUGGGACUGCAAGGCUUGAGUGUGGCAGAGGGGACUGGAAUUCCUGGUGUAGCAGUGAAAUGCGUAGAGAUCAGGAGGAAUACCGAUGGCGAAGGCAGGUCCCUGGGCUGACACUGACGCUCAUGCACGAAAGCGUGGGGAGCAAACAGG
RNAcentral lists this ribosomal RNA (253 nucleotides) under uncultured bacterium. RNAcentral's name for it is "partial 16S ribosomal RNA". It matches the Rfam family "Bacterial small subunit ribosomal RNA", at positions 524 to 776 of the family's 1533-position model. The record is from RNAcentral.